Molecule: ribosomal RNA, 253 nt
Filed under: uncultured bacterium
Lineage: Bacteria
Description: partial 16S ribosomal RNA
Rfam family: Bacterial small subunit ribosomal RNA
Source: RNAcentral
UACGUAGGGGGCAAGCGUUAAUCGGAAUUACUGGGCGUAAAGCGUGCGCAGGCGGUUGUGUAAGGCAGAUGUGAAAUCCCCGGGCUCAACCUGGGAACUGCAUUUGUGACUGCACAGCUGGAGUGCGGCAGAGGGGGAUGGAAUUCCGCGUGUAGCAGUGAAAUGCGUAGAUAUGCGGAGGAACACCGAUGGCGAAGGCAAUCCCCUGGGCCUGCACUGACGCUCAUGCACGAAAGCGUGGGGAGCAAACAGG